AUUGAACGCUGGCGGCAGGCUUAACACAUGCAAGUCGAGCGGGGGAAGGUAGCUUGCUACUGGACCUAGCGGCGGACGGGUGAGUAAUGCUUAGGAAUCUGCCUAAUAGUGGGGGACAACAUCUAGAAAGGGAUGCUAAUACCGCAUACGUCCUACGGGAGAAAGCAGGGGAUCUUCGGACCUUGCGCUAAUAGAUGAGCCUAAGUCGGAUUAGCUAGUUGGUGGGGUAAAGGCCUACCAAGGCGACGAUCUGUAGCGGGUCUGAGAGGAUGAUCCGCCACACUGGGACUGAGACACGGCCCAGACUCCUACGGGAGGCAGCAGUGGGGAAUAUUGGACAAUGGGGGGAACCCUGAUCCAGCCAUGCCGCGUGUGUGAAGAAGGCCUUAUGGUUGUAAAGCACUUUAAGCGAGGAGGAGGCUACUUUAGUUAAUACCUAGAGAUAGUGGACGUUACUCGCAGAAUAAGCACCGGCUAACUCUGUGCCAGCCGCCGCUGUAA
RNAcentral lists this ribosomal RNA (501 nucleotides) under uncultured bacterium. RNAcentral's name for it is "partial 16S ribosomal RNA". It matches the Rfam family "Bacterial small subunit ribosomal RNA", at positions 30 to 523 of the family's 1533-position model. The record is from RNAcentral.